GGAUAACCUGCCCUUGGGUCCGGCAUAACCCCGGGAAACUGGGGAUAAUUCCGGAUAACGCACAUAUGCUGGAAUGCUUUAUGCGUCAAAUGGAUUCGUCUGCCCAAGGAUGGGUCUGCGGCCUAUCAGGUAGUAGUGGGUGUAAUGUACCUACUAGCCGACGACGGGUACGGGUUGUGAGAGCAAGAGCCCGGAGAUGGAUUCUGAGACAUGAAUCCAGGCCCUACGGGGCGCAGCAGGCGCGAAAACUUUACAAUGCGGGAAACCGUGAUAAGGGGACACCGAGUGCCAGCGUCAUACGCUGGCUGUCCAGGUGUGUAAAAUACACCUGUUAGCAAGGGCCGGGCAAGACCGGUGCCAGCCGCCGCGGUAACACCGGCGGCCCGAGUGGUGAUCGUGAUUAUUGGGUCUAAAGGGUCCGUAGCCGGUUUGGUCAGUCCUCCGGGAAAUCUGACGGCUCAACCGUUAGGCUUUCGGGGGAUACUGCCAGGCUUGGAACCGGGAGAGGUAAGAGGUACUACAGGGGUAGGAGUGAAAUCUUGUAAUCCCUGUGGGACCACCUGUGGCGAAGGCGUCUUACCAGAACGGGUUCGACGGUGAGGGACGAAAGCUGGGGGCACGAACCGGAUUANAUACCCNGGUAGUCCCAGCCCGUAAACGAUGCUCGCUAGGUGUCANGCAUGGCGCGACCCGUGUCUGGUGCCGCAGGGAAGCCGUGAAGCGAGCCACCUGGGGAAGUNCGGCCGCAAGGCUGAAACUUAA
RNAcentral lists this ribosomal RNA (762 nucleotides) under uncultured archaeon. RNAcentral describes it as "bacterial SSU rRNA". It matches the Rfam family "Archaeal small subunit ribosomal RNA", at positions 102 to 859 of the family's 1478-position model. The record is from RNAcentral.